AACGAACGCUGGCGGCAGGCCUAAUACAUGCAAGUCGAACGAACCUUCGGGUUAGUGGCGCACGGGUGCGUAACGCGUGGGAAUGUACACCUUGGUAAGGAAUAACUGCUGGAAACGGUAGCUAAUGCCUUAUAAUGACUCCGGUCCAAAGAUUUAUCGCCAAGGAAUCAGCCCGCGUUAGAUUAGCUAGUUGGUGAGGUAAUGGCUCACCAAGGCGACGAUCUAUAGGGGGUCCGAGAGGAUGAUCCCCCACACUGGAACUGAGACACGGUCCAGACUCCUACGGGAGGCAGCAGUAAGGAAUAUUGGACAAUGGGGGCAACCCUGAUCCAGCCAUGCCGCGUGUGUGAAGAAGGCCUUAGGGUUGUAAAGCACUUUCAAACGUGAAGAUAAUGACGGUAGCGUUAGAAGAAGCUCCGGCUAAAUUCGUGCCAGCAGCCGCGGUAA
This 447-nucleotide ribosomal RNA is filed under the name uncultured bacterium. RNAcentral describes it as "partial 16S ribosomal RNA". It matches the Rfam family "Bacterial small subunit ribosomal RNA", at positions 29 to 523 of the family's 1533-position model. The record is from RNAcentral.